This is a long non-coding RNA of Triticum aestivum (bread wheat), 594 nucleotides long. RefSeq lists it as uncharacterized. The record is from RefSeq and is a predicted model, not a curated record. The transcript has 3 exons. Lineage: Eukaryota; Viridiplantae; Streptophyta; Magnoliopsida; Poales; Poaceae.
CGAUCUGCUUCGUUUAGAUACGUUGUUAAGUAAUUCACAUCUUCCCCGUUACGAUACGUGCAUGAUCUUGUCUUGUGCUCUUCUGCUCAUUGGACUGAUGCAUGAAGGACAAGAGCUUGCACAGAGUUUUUAGUAGAAGACGACGUAAAUUGUGGUAUUGGCCGCAAUCUGGAAGUUCUUCAGAUCCAAAUCCUGCUUCAGAAAGUGUAUAUGAAGCAAAGGUCUGCACCUACAUGUUAUCAGAAGUCAGGUCUUAGACAAGGUUUGUCAUUGUCCGUGGAUUCAAUCUUUCCCCCUUUCUCUGUUGACAUACUUCUAGGAGCUGCAAUGCUCAAAUUGCCACGGAUCUUAGACUGGUGUCAAGAUGCUAUUGAUAAGAUUUUGAAUUGCAUCAAACGGUUUCAGGUUUUUUCUUCAAUUUCAGUUACGAUGUUCAUGUUCUGCUUAUAACCAGGUUUAAAUAUCGUACUGUUGUUUUCUGCUAUGUCAUUUGUUCACAUUCGUUCACAUGAACAUUACAGAUUUAGCUACACAUGAAUUUGUGUUAGAUCAAUUGCAAUUUUAAUUAUUUUGGCCUGGGAUACCACUUCAACA